GACGAACGCUGGCGGCGUGCCUAAUACAUGCAAGUUGAGCGCUGAAGGUUGGUACUUGUACCAACUGGAUGAGCAGCGAACGGGUGAGUAACGCGUGGGGAAUCUGCCUUUGAGCGGGGGACAACAUUUGGAAACGAAUGCUAAUACCGCAUAAAAACUUUAAACACAAGUUUUAAGUUUGAAAGAUGCAAUUGCAUCACUCAAAGAUGAUCCCGCGUUGUAUUAGCUAGUUGGUGAGGUAAAGGCUCACCAAGGCGAUGAUACAUAGCCGACCUGAGAGGGUGAUCGGCCACCUUGGGACUGAGACACGGCCCCAACUCCUUCGGGAGGCAGCAGUAGGGAAUCUUCGGCCAUGGACGAAAGUCUGACCGAGCAACGCCGCGUGAGUGAAGAAGGUUUUCGGAUCGUAAAACUCUGUUGGUAGAGAAGAACGUUGGUGAGAGUGGAAAGCUCAUCAAGUGACGGUAACUACCCAGAAAGGGACGGCUAACUACGUG
Molecule: ribosomal RNA, 497 nt
Filed under: uncultured bacterium
Lineage: Bacteria
Description: partial 16S ribosomal RNA
Rfam family: Bacterial small subunit ribosomal RNA
Source: RNAcentral